GACGAACGCUGGCGGCGUGCUUAACACAUGCAAGUCGAACGGAAAGGCCCUGCUUUUGUGGGGUGCUCGAGUGGCGAACGGGGGAGUAAGACGUGAGUAACCUGCCCGUGACUUUGGGAUAACUUCAGGAAACUGGGGCUAAUAGCGGAUAGGAGCUCCUGGUGCAUGGUGGGGGGUGGAAAGUUUGGGCGGUUGGGGAUGGACUCGCGGCUUAGCAGCAUGUUGGUGGGGUAGUGGCUUACCAAGGCUUUGACGGGGAGGCGGCCUGAGAGGGUGACCGGCCACAUUGGCACUGAGCUACGGCCCGGCCGCCUUCGGGAGUCAGGAGUGAGGAGUAGUGCACAAUGGGCGGAAGCCUGCUUCAGCAACGCCGCGUGUGGGAUGACGGCCUUCGGGUUGUAACCCGCUUUCGCCUGUGACGAAGCGUGAGUGACGGUAAUGGGUAAAGAAGCACCGGCUAACUACGUG
This 468-nucleotide ribosomal RNA is filed under the name uncultured bacterium. RNAcentral's name for it is "partial 16S ribosomal RNA". It matches the Rfam family "Bacterial small subunit ribosomal RNA", at positions 28 to 507 of the family's 1533-position model. The record is from RNAcentral.